Molecule: ribosomal RNA, 433 nt
Filed under: uncultured bacterium
Lineage: Bacteria
Description: partial 16S ribosomal RNA
Rfam family: Bacterial small subunit ribosomal RNA
Source: RNAcentral
AACGAACGCUGGCGGCAGGCUUAACACAUGCAAGUCGAGCGAGACCUUCGGGUCUAGCGGCGGACGGGUGAGUAACGCGUGGGAACGUGCCCUUCUCUACGGAAUAGCCCCGGGAAACUGGGAGUAAUACCGUAUACGCCCUUUGGGGGAAAGAUUUAUCGGAGAAGGAUCGGCCCGCGUUGGAUUAGGUAGUUGGUGGGGUAAUGGCCCACCAAGCCGACGAUCCAUAGCUGGUUUGAGAGGAUGAACAGCCACACUGGGACUGAGACACGGCCCAGACUCCGACGGGAGGCAGCAGUGGGGAAUCUUAGACAAUGGGGGCAACCCUGAUCUAGCCAUGCCGCGUGAGUGAUGAAGGCCUUAGGGUUGUAAAGCUCUUUCAGCUGGGAAGAUAAUGACGGUACCAGCAGAAGAAGCCCCGGCUAACUCCGUG